CUUAAGUGACCCGUCCCCCCUUCACCCAGCACCGUUUGUUGAGGGCUUGCCAUAUCUGGGCCCCGAGUACCCAGUCUGUAGGGAAAGUGGACAUCCAUACUCACCCCCCAGGCAUGGACCUGGGAGGGUGACUGUGCAUGACUCCAGGGAGGCCAGGGACAGGGCCCUGAGCGGGUGAUCCCUGGGCUGGACACCAAGGUCGAGAAGUUAGGCCGGCAGUGUGGAGGGGACAGCACUGGGGGGGGUGGCCUGGUGUGGGGAGGGGACAUGGGGUUCUGGGACGGUCACACCACUUCAUCCAGACACCACAGCCAGGCACAUCUGUCAGGCUUAGUUCUCCCAUGCCCCAUCCAAGAGGCACCAGCACUUUAUCUGUUGAGCCUUUAUGUGGCACCAACUGUGUGCACUAUUACCCGGUUUUACAGAUGAUGGAGGCCCAGAAGCAGGAGGUGGCUGGUGUUAGGUCACACAGCUAGGAGGCAGCAGAACGGUGGGGCGCUGCCUGUGCUCUUAACCCCCAGGCCAAGUCACCCCAUCAGGCAGUCAGGAGGGCUGGCGGCAGGGGGUGAUGUGGGCGGGAGGUAGUGCCUUCUCGGCAUUCUCACUGCAGCCUGGGUGCCGGGUGCCACUCUGACCUCAGCCAUGGCAGGGUGGGGGGAUGCCGAUGGGCGCUGCAGGGUCUCUCAGAGGCCCCUCACCUAUGGCCAUGGCCUUGACUGUGGGGGCCUCUGUCUGCCGAUGAUCUCCCUUCAUCCCCUACAGGUGGGGCGGUCCAGGGUGGUGGGGGCACAGUGGCCCCGGGCAGUGACCACAGGGUCCUGACCCGCGGCCCCCGCAGGCGGGCUGCAUGCUGUUCCCCCACAUCUCCCCCUGUGAGGUGCGCGUGCUCAUGCUCCUGUACUCGUCCAAGAAGAAGAUCUUCAUGGGCCUCAUCCCCUACGACCAGAGCGGCUUCGUCAGUGCCAUCCGGCAGGUCAUCACCACCCGCAAGCAGGCAGUGGGACCUGGUGGUGUCAACUCAGGCCCAGUCCAGAUCGUCAACAACAAGUUUCUGGCAUGGAGUGGCGUCAUGGAGUGGCAGGAGCCCAGGCCUGAGCCCAACAGUCGGUCCAAGAGGUGGCUGCCAUCCCACGUCUACGUGAACCAGGGGGAGAUCCUGUGAGUGCUGGGCUGGGGGGUGGAGGCAGCAUCCAGGGGAGCUGGGGCUUCCUGACCCUCGUCCCUUUGUGCCCCACAGGAGGACCGAGCAGUGGCCAAGGAAGCUGUACAUGCAGCUCAUCCCGCAGCAGCUGCUGACCACCCUAGUGCCGCUGUUCCGGAACUCGCGCCUGGUCCAGUUCCACUUCACCAAGGACCUGGAGACACUGAAGAGCCUGUGCCGGAUCAUGGACAAUGGCUUCGCCGGCUGCGUGCACUUUUCCUACAAAGCAUCGUGUGAGAUCCGCGUGCUUAUGCUCCUGUACUCUUCGGAGAAGAAAAUCUUCAUUGGCCUCAUCCCCCAUGACCAGGGCAACUUUGUCAACGGCAUCCGGCGUGUCAUUGCCAACCAGCAGCAGGUCCUGCAGCGGAACCUGGAGCAGGAGCAGCAGCAACGAGGGAUGGGGGGGUAGUGGUUACCCCGGGCUGGGCCUCUCCAGGAGUCACAGAUGAGGCCCCCGCAGAGACUGGUGACAUGCUUCUGAGCAGGGGCCCCUGGGGACUUCAACUGCCCAGCAACAUGGAGGAUGGUGUCCUGAGGCCUCCAAGGACGGUCCCCACCCCUCUACGUUUCCCCAAUAAAGCCUUUUAAAAACC
RNAcentral lists this small RNA (1794 nucleotides) under Pan troglodytes (chimpanzee). RNAcentral describes it as "retained intron". The record is from RNAcentral. Lineage: Eukaryota; Metazoa; Chordata; Mammalia; Primates; Hominidae.